Elaeis guineensis (African oil palm) is the source of this 834-nucleotide non-coding RNA. Lineage: Eukaryota; Viridiplantae; Streptophyta; Magnoliopsida; Arecales; Arecaceae. The record is from RefSeq and is a predicted model, not a curated record.
UGCCCAACAAUCCCUUCCAAAAAUGCCCAUGCAGGUAGCAAACACCUCAUAUAUUUCUUUCUGCCAUCCCCUCGCUACUGCUCCUUUCAGUCUCUCCCAUCCCCUUUGUCCAUCCUUUCCUUGUCCAAUCUCCCAAUUCCCCUCCUUCGUACUCGUAAUAAUACUACUAAGCCUUCUGAUAAUCAAACGAGAUCUAUCUCAAUGAGAAUUCGAGGCUCAAAGACUCCACCUUUGAACUCCUCUGCCCCUGCUGUCGCCGCCACUCCCACUCCCUCCCAGUCCCCUCCAUCAAAUUCCUCCUGUUCGAAUGAUCCCUCGUCCCACUGCGAAGGCCUCGAUCUCUUGGUGCUGGCCAUCAUCGAAGUCAAUGGAGACAGAGCUCUGGAUACCGAGAGGAAUGCAAUUAAUGGAGUUAAAGAGGAAGAUGAUAAAACCGAGAAGAGAAAGGAGGAGAAGGGCAAAGAAUUCGAAGUGGGUUCGAAACCAAAUAAGCGGAGGCGGCGGUUGGCAAUGCCUUCCAGGUACCAGGAUUCCGUGCUCCAGCCAUGGAAACGGCGAAGCCGCCGUCGACCAAUUGGGCCCAAACGAUCCGGAUAAGAGAAAAGUGGUUGAAAUUGGGGGUUUUGGAUUUGUGUAAUUGAGUCUUGCAUUAGAAGUUCAGCUUUGGAUACAAAGGUGUCCUCAAGCAUCCAUGCCUUCCAUAUCCAGCAUUAGCUUUAGCUUCAUGUCUGUAAAUUAAAACCAAUUUUUAUGAAUAUCAAGGUCUGUAAUAUAUUAAGUCGAUUCAUUGUUCAUCAGAAAGUAAAGUUCCAUAGUUUUUAGUUUUAAACAGUU